GAGUUUGAUCCUGGCUCAGGAUGAACGCUGGCGGCGUACCUAAGGUAUGCAAGUCGAACGGGCUUGUGCUUCGCACAAGAAUUCGAAUAAUAUUCGAGUUCUCGCGCGGAGCGCGAGUCAGUGGCAGACGGGUGAGUAACGCGUAGGAAUCUACCUCGGAGAAGUGAAUAGCCCCGCGAAAGCGGGAGUAAUACACCAUACGUCCCGACACAUUUGUGUCGUGGAGAAAGGGAGUAACUUCUCGCUCUGAGAUGAGCCUGCGUCCUAUCAGCUUGUUGGUAGGGUAAUGGCCUACCAAGGCGAUGACGGGUAGGGGGGCUGAGAGGCUGUUCCCCCACAAUGGCACUGAGACACGGGCCAUACACCUACGGGUGGCAGCAACCGGGAAUUGUUCGCAAUGGGCGAAAGCCUGACGAUGUGACGCCGCGUGUGGGAUGAAGGCCUUCGGGUCGUAAACCACUUAAUUGGUCGAUACUUCGACCGAGGAUGAAGCGCCUGCUAACUACGUGCCAGCAGCCGCGGUAAGACGUAGGGCGCAAGCGUUAUCCGGAUUUAUUGGGCGUAAAGAGUGCGUAGGCGGUCUAUUGCAUCUGGUUUUAAAUCUUAAGGCUUAACCUUAAGGCUGAAUCAGAGAUGGGUAGACUAGAGGGUUAAAGAGGAGGCUGGAAUUUCUGGUGGAGCGGUGAAAUGCGUUGAUAUCAGAAGGAACACCAAAGGCGAAGGCAGGCCUCUGGGGAACCCCUGACGCUAAGGCACGAAAGCUAGGGUAGCAAAGCAGAUUAGAGACCUGCGUAGUCCUAGCCGUAAACGAUCCUCGCUGGCUAUUCUUCCCGCCAAGGGCGGAAAUAUGAAAUAUUUCCGCUUUUAGCGGGGGGAGUGGCGAAGCUAACGCGUUAAGCGAGGCGCCUGGGAAGUACGAGCGCAAGCUUAAAACUCAAAGGAAUUGACGGGGAGGAGCACAACCGGUGGAGCGUGUGGUUUAAUUCGAAACAAAGCGAAAAACCUCACCAGGACUUGAAAUAUACUUGCAUGGUAAAGAAAUUUACCAGCCUUCGAGGGUAGUAUACAGUUGCUGCAUGGCUGUCGUCAGCUCGUGCCGUGAGGUGUUCCCUUAAGUGGGGUAACGAGCGCAACCCCUGUUCAAUGUUAAAUAUUCAUUGGAGACCGCCCCCUCUCAAAGCGCAUAGCGAUUUGAGAUUUUCUCAAAAAGCUGUGCUUUUUGAGAGGGGGAGGAAGGUGGGGAUAACGUCAAGUCAGCAUGGUGCUUAUGUCCUGGGCUACACACACCCUACAAUGGACCGGACAACGGGUUGCAACUCAGUAAUGAGAAGCUAAUCUCUUAAAUCGGUCCUCAGUUGGGAUUGAGGGCUGAAAUUCGCCCUCAUGAACAUGGAAUCGGUAGUAAUCGCGGAUCAGCAGGUCGCGGUGAAUACGUUCUCUCCUCUUGCACAC
This 1452-nucleotide ribosomal RNA is filed under the name uncultured bacterium. RNAcentral's name for it is "bacterial SSU rRNA". It matches the Rfam family "Bacterial small subunit ribosomal RNA". The record is from RNAcentral.